This 357-nucleotide ribosomal RNA is filed under the name Triticum aestivum (bread wheat). Its description in RNAcentral is "partial small subunit ribosomal RNA". Lineage: Eukaryota; Viridiplantae; Streptophyta; Magnoliopsida; Poales; Poaceae. The record is from RNAcentral.
AUGGUCGGGAGGAAGAGCAGCGAGCGGAAGAAGGUAGUGACCCGGUCCACAAAGGCUGGACUCCAGUUUCCCGUCGGCCGCAUAGGGCACUAUCUCAAGAAGGACCGCUACGCGGACCGCGUCGGCUCCGGCGCACCCGUCUACCUCGCCGCCGCCCUCGAAUACCUUGCCGCCGAGUUGGCGGGCAAUGCGGCCAAGGACAACAAGAAGACCUGCAUCAUGCCGCGCCACCUGCUACUCGCCACUUGCAAUGACGGGGAGCUCUCCAAGUUGCUUGACGACAUCACCAUUGCCCACAAUGGCGUGUUGCCCAACAUCCACUCUGUGUUGUUCUCCAAGAAGGCCAACAUGCUCUAG